RNAcentral lists this long non-coding RNA (285 nucleotides) under Anser brachyrhynchus (Pink-footed goose). Its description in RNAcentral is "lncRNA (ENSABRG00000014130.1)". The record is from RNAcentral. Lineage: Eukaryota; Metazoa; Chordata; Aves; Anseriformes; Anatidae.
UCCACAUCCACUUUCUGGUGUCAGCAUACAUUUAUAGCUGAGUCUUCUAAAUGCUGAGCGUGUGCUGUUCUACAGAAAAUGGAAAGAGAAAAUCAGCCUAGUGGGGUGAUCUGUCAGUUCCCAAAAUAACUGUUCCAGGAAGGUGCAUCAUCCUACAGGACGUGGAUUUUUCUUCAUUGCAAGUGGAGGUGUUAGAUCUGAAAGGCUUCAGUCAUAGAUCAAUUGCAAACAGAGAGCACCAAGUCCUAGUCAGUUUGAGUGCAGAUAAGUAAAUUAUAGCAGACA